ACGUAGGGUGCAAGCGUUGUCCGGAAUUAUUGGGCGUAAAGAGCUCGUAGGCGGUUUGUCGCGUCUGCUGUGAAAACCUGAGGCUCAACCUCAGACCUGCAGUGGGUACGGGCAAGCUAGAGUGCGGUAGGGGAGAUGGGAAUUCCUGGUGUAGCGGUGGAAUGCGCAGAUAUCAGGAGGAACACCGAUGGCGAAGGCACAUCUCUGGGCCGUAACUGACGCUGAGGAGCGAAAGCGUGGGGAGCGAACAGGAUUAGAUACCCUGGUAGUCCACGCCGUAAACGGUGGGUGCUAGUUGUGGGUCACAUUCCACGUGAUCCGUGACGAAGUUAACACAUUAAGCACCCCGCCUGGGGAGUACGGUCGCAAGACUA
Molecule: ribosomal RNA, 374 nt
Filed under: uncultured bacterium
Lineage: Bacteria
Description: bacterial SSU rRNA
Rfam family: Bacterial small subunit ribosomal RNA
Source: RNAcentral